AGAGUUUGAUCCUGGCUCAGGAUGAACGCUGGCGGCGUGCCUAAAACAUGCAAGUCGAGCGGCAGCACGGUCUUCGGACUGGUGGCGAGCGGCGGACGGGUGAGUAACACGUAGGAAUUUGCCCCAAAGUGAGGAAUAACUGCCCGAAAGGGUAGCUAAUACCGCAUAUGGUCUUCGGAUUAAAGCCUUCGGGCGCUUUGGGAGAAGCCUGCGUACGAUUAGCUAGUUGGUAAGGUAAAGGCUUACCAAGGCGACGAUCGUUAAUUGGUCUGAGAGGGUGAUCAGUCACACUGGAACUGAGACACGGUCCAGACUCCUACGGGAGGCAGCAGUUAGGAAUCUUCCACAAUGGGCGAAAGCCUGAUGGAGCAACGCCGCGUGCAGGACGAAGGCCUUCGGGUUGUAAACUGCUUUUAUAUGCGAAGAAUAUGACGGUAACAUAUGAAUAAGGAUCGGCUAACUCCGUGCCAGCAGCCGCGGUCAUACGGAGGAUCCAAGCGUUAUCCGGAGUGAUUGGGCGUAAAGAGUUGCGUAGGUGGUGAUUCAAGCGAAUAGUGAAAUCUUGUGGCUCAACCAUGAGGCUAUUAUUCGAACUGGGUUACUUGAGAGCAGGAGAGGUAGAUGGAAUUUCUGAUGUAGGGGUAAUAUCCGUAGAUAUCAGAAGGAACACCAAUGGCGUAGGCAGUCUACUGGCCUGUUUCUGACACUGAGGCACGAAAGCGUGGGGGAGCGAACCGGGAUUAGAUACCCGGGUAGUCCACGCCGUAAACUAUGGAUGCUAGCUGUUGGACGUAUCGACCCGUUCAGUAGCGAASUAACGCGUUAAGCAUCCCGCCUGGGGAGUACGGUCGCAAGAUUAAAACUCAAAGGAAUUGACGA
RNAcentral lists this ribosomal RNA (879 nucleotides) under uncultured bacterium. Its description in RNAcentral is "bacterial SSU rRNA". It matches the Rfam family "Bacterial small subunit ribosomal RNA", at positions 8 to 916 of the family's 1533-position model. The record is from RNAcentral.